CCUCGGGGCGCAGCAGUGGGGAAUAUUGGGCAAUGGGCGCAAGCCUGACCCAGCAACGCCGCGUGAAGGAAGAAGGCUUUCGGGUUGUAAACUUCUUUUAUGAGGGACGAAACAAAUGACGGUACCUCAUGAAUAAGCCACGGCUAACUACGUGCCAGCAGCCGCGGUAAUACGUAGGUGGCAAGCGUUAUCCGGAUUUACUGGGUGUAAAGGGCGUGUAGGCGGGACUGCAAGUCAGAUGUGAAAAUUAUGGGCUCAACCCAUAAUCUGCAUUUGAAACUGUAGUUCUUGAGUGAUGGAGAGGG
Molecule: ribosomal RNA, 305 nt
Filed under: uncultured bacterium
Lineage: Bacteria
Description: bacterial SSU rRNA
Rfam family: Bacterial small subunit ribosomal RNA
Source: RNAcentral